GACGUAGGGCGCGAGCGUUGUCCGGAUUUAUUGGGCGUAAAGAGCUCGUAGGCGGCUUGUCGCGUCGACUGUGAAAACCCGCGGCUCAACCGCGGGCCUGCAGCCGAUACGGGCAGGCUAGAGUUCGGUAGGGGAGACUGGAAUUCCUGGUGUAGCGGUAAAAUGCGUAGAUAUUACUAGGAACACCAAUGGCGAAGGCAGCUUACUGGGCUAUAUUUGACGCUGAGAAACGAAAGCGUGGGGAGCGAACAGG
RNAcentral lists this ribosomal RNA (253 nucleotides) under uncultured bacterium. Its description in RNAcentral is "partial 16S ribosomal RNA". It matches the Rfam family "Bacterial small subunit ribosomal RNA", at positions 524 to 776 of the family's 1533-position model. The record is from RNAcentral.